Molecule: ribosomal RNA, 492 nt
Filed under: uncultured bacterium
Lineage: Bacteria
Description: partial 16S ribosomal RNA
Rfam family: Bacterial small subunit ribosomal RNA
Source: RNAcentral
ACGAACGCUGGCGGCGUGCUUAACACAUGCAAGUCGAACGGUGAAGGGACCGGUUUUUGCUGGUUCUGGAUGAGUGGCGAACGGGUGAGUAACACGUGAGUAACCUGCCCCCUUCUUCUGGAUAACCGCAUGAAAGUGUGGCUAAUACGGGAUAUUCUGCGCCUGCUGCAUGGUGGGUGUGGGAAAGAUAUUGUUUCGGUGGGGGAUGGGCUCGCGGCCUAUCAGCUUGUUGGUGGGGUGAUGGCCUACCAAGGCGGUGACGGGUAGCCGGCCUGAGAGGGUGGACGGUCACACUGGGACUGAGACACGGCCCAGACUCCUACGGGAGGCAGCAGUGGGGAAUAUUGCACAACGGGCGCAAGCCUGAUGCAGCGACGCCGCGUGAGGGAUGGAGGCCUUCGGGUUGUAAACCUCUUUCGCCAGUGAAGCAGGCCUGUCCCUUUUGUGGGUGGGUUGACGGUAGCUGGAUAAGAAGCGCCGGCUAACUACGUG